RNAcentral lists this transfer RNA (73 nucleotides) under bacterium. RNAcentral's name for it is "tRNA-Glu". It matches the Rfam family "tRNA". From Rfam's summary of the family: Transfer RNA (tRNA) molecules are approximately 80 nucleotides in length. Their secondary structure includes four short double-helical elements and three loops (D, anti-codon, and T loops). The record is from RNAcentral. RNAcentral also lists the same sequence under 2 other names.
GCCCGAUUCGUCUAGAGGCCUAGGACGCUGCCCUCUCACGGCGGUAACACGGGUUCGAAUCCCGUAUCGGGUA